Molecule: long non-coding RNA, 208 nt
Filed under: Mytilus galloprovincialis (Mediterranean mussel)
Lineage: Eukaryota; Metazoa; Mollusca; Bivalvia; Mytilida; Mytilidae
Source: RNAcentral
GUUUUUCACUGAAAAUGUAACAUUAAGGUGUAUUUUCCGGAAUUGGCCGAGUAUUACCGGAAUGCCAUGUGAUAACGUUACGGAAAGGCAUGUGAUAACAAUCGAAGCAUGUGAUAAACUUUUCAUAUCAGCCCGCUAAGCACCAAUUCGAAAAAUAUGGAAUUUACGUCAAUUUAAUGCUAUUAUCAUACGGUAAAAUUUAUAUGUU